GGGGUUUUAUCCAGGAAUCCUCCACCACACCCAGAUGGUCUGUGAGUUUUAAAUGGGAAACAGUCCCAGCUGAACCCCCUAGUCCUGCCUGGCCUAUUCCCCUAGAAGGAUGGUGUUCUAUCCUCUAUUCAGACUUGCCAUCUUAGGAGUCUCUCUGGACCAACUCAUUUAAAAAUGUGGGACUAGAAAUGGAAACAACAAUAAAAAAUCCCUGUUGGUGGCUUGCCCAGGGAUCCUUACCUUUUGGUAGAUUUUGGUUUUCCAGAAGGUUGGUAAAGAUGGAAUCCCCACCAGGAAGCACAGGAACAGAAGAAGCAACCACAACCCACACACGAUGGUGAGGUUAUAGUCACUAUCUAAGAAUGUUGAGCAGAUGCUCAAAAACAACUCAAUAUGGCUAUUCAGAAAUGAGAGAACAUUCCAUUGACUGAACUCCAUUUUCUGAAUCGCAAGGCUGCCUGAGGCAACUGAGCUCUGAGAGUGUCCGCACUUGCCUAUAAUCCCAGGCCUGCAUCACAGAGCACUGAAGAGUCACAAAGGGUUUCAGAGGGUGGGGGAGGGGACAUGAAGAGGGUGUGCCCAUGGCCCCUUCCCCCCACCAGCCCAGCUGAUCUCUCCAUCCAUCCUGGGCCCUCCAGGUCCCUCUGCCCUACCCUGCCAUCCUAUUUUCCAACUCUGUCCGUUCAUCAUAUCAUACAAUUACAUUAAUGGAAUUUUCUGCCUGUUCCACCUGUACUCCAGAUAUUACCUGGGCCCCCUUUAGUGUUUGGAGAGCUUGACUUUGGUUUCACCAAUUCCACUGCCUCGAAAGUCUGAAAUGCUCCCUGGAAUUUUUGCUUGUACCCAGACAUUUACACUCAGAAUCAUAUAUGUCCUCAAAUCCAUCUUUCCUUUAGAAUGUUUUUGCCUUACAUGAACCCUGAUAUAGAACUUAAAGUUCUUUAUUCAUUUGGUUUUGUGAAUGUCGAAUAACAAAUUUUAGUUUUUUGCUUCAGUCAGCCUUUACCGUCUUCAGCCAGUGGGGCUGACUCAAAUAAUUGAAAUGAAUAAUUCAUUAUUCAACAUUCACAAGACUAAAAUCAGUACAGGCACACCUCACUUAUUGAAAGGGAUUUUUUUUGAGAAAUGCAUCAUUAGGCACUUUCACUGUUGUGUGAACAUCACACAGCGUACUUACACAAACCUAAGUGGUAGAGCCUACUACAUACCUAGGCUAUGUGGUGCUACCCGUAUGGGACCACUGUCAUAUAUGUGGUCCAUUAGUGACCGAAACAUCGUUAAUAUUGUUACAUGGUGUGUGACUGUGGUGGAUGACAAUGACAAAACGGAGUACCAUUUUCAAGGCUUCUAAAAUGGAGCUGGGAGGCCAUUAAGGAAGUGGGGCUUAUGCUUGUACACCACAUCCACCACCAGAUGUUAACUGAACUUUUGAGCUUUACCUGACAGCAGAGGUCACAUCUUGAAGUGUUUCCUCAUUCCAAGAAGGGACAGUCUGCCUAGGACCAACUAUGUUCUGGCAAGUCAGCUCACCCCAUGCCAGAACCAGUCAUUAACUGUUCACUGUGGACCUUUGUAAGCCUGUGUCCUUUCCUUUUAUCUACCCCUGCCUCCUUUGUCUUCCUAGGAGCACAUUUGAGCUUCUACUCAAAUCUACAUCUCCUGAAUUGCAAUUCUUGAGACCCCAAAUAAACUUUUUGGUUCUUUUGCAGUUUAUGCCUCUUAUUUGCUGACUUUACAUGGUGACAGAAGCGGGAUCCCUAGCUACUGACCUUCAAUUCUGGUGCCACUUCACAGACACAAGCAAGGUGCCUGCAAAGAAUCUUUUGUGCUCUGUCGUCUCCUCCUGGUGGCUCUGGUUCCUGGUGGUUUCUCAAGAACUUGCUCCCAGAAAAAACCUGGAUGGAGAACAAAACAGGUAAGUGCCCAAGUGAGAAAUCUACAAAGCUCCUCUCCCCCAAAAUCAUCUCUUCCCCAUCAGUUGUGGGGCCUAACAUUUCACCAAUGGGGUUCCGUUCUUUCAAG
Molecule: long non-coding RNA, 2022 nt
Organism: Equus caballus (horse)
Lineage: Eukaryota; Metazoa; Chordata; Mammalia; Perissodactyla; Equidae
Source: Ensembl